Bactrocera oleae (olive fruit fly) is the source of this 3052-nucleotide non-coding RNA. The record is from RefSeq and is a predicted model, not a curated record. Lineage: Eukaryota; Metazoa; Arthropoda; Insecta; Diptera; Tephritidae.
AGCGCUGACAUAGAGGCAAACAUUCGUUGAGAAAAUACUUGAAAAUUAUAAUAAAAUUUACAAUAGCUAUUUGAACUAUAUAUCUUUCAUCGCAACACACUUUAUUCCUUUUAUUUUCACAUUAGGUAUACACCUAGGAAACGUCGGGAAGUUUUGACAUUUAAAUAGAAAUUUCAAGUUUAAAAUAUAAAUAGUUCUUUAAAAAAAAUGUAUGUAAAUAAUAAAACUAAGAAGUAAAACAUCCACGUUGCGGAAAGUCGCGAUGGACGCUGAGGAGGUAAACUCAAUUUCCAGGUUUGUUUCACAAACCUCUCCUAUGAUGUUCCGUAGCUCGACAAGCUUCACCAUUCAACACAGCGUAAAUAUGCAUGACAUAACAGCAGCACUCAAGGUGCACAAAGCAAAGCGGAAGCAGAUCACCUUACCUCGUAAAAAAAUAUAUAUCGAACGAGAGAAGCUACGUCAAAUGGAGAUUUCAGCACCAAUGCCGAGCUCAGCGUUCCAAGACCCCUACCUCUCCCAGACAAAUGAAAUGCGAGUCAAAACGAACUUCGGUCGUCUAAAGGCAAACUCACCGAAGCGUAAAACCAACAAAGCGGUAUUACUCCCAAACCAAGUGACGUUGGCCAGGGCACAACAGCAAAAAGCCCCUCUAGCGGUGAAAGUUUUCGAAGAAUGUGUGUUGCCACAACUAAAGGAAAACUUACCGCAAUCAAAGUCUCCCAUUGACAGUGUACUUAGCUUUAAGUUGCAAGCAAGCGUGGACGGCGUUCAGUGUGCUUACUCCAAUAUUUACGAAAUACCACCCGCGGCUCAGACUUGGCGGCGUGGCGAUUGUUUCAAGGACCGCAGCGAAGAAGGCUUGUUGAACGACAUCAUGUAUGAGAUAAUUGUCGUAAUGCUUCAACCACUUAUAGUCGUAUCCUUUCAUCGCCAGACAACAGCAAACAUAUAGAGUAACAAACGCAGUCGAUGGAUGAUGGUGUCGGGGUUAAAAUCGCUUGAGUAAUGAAACUGCGAAAUGCAAGUAAAUAUUUGCAUACAAAAUGAACAUACAUAAUUACCAUUGCAUGCAUACCUAUACUUACGAAUAAUUCGAGAAAUACCAAACACCUAUUUGUGCAUGAGUAUUUAUUUAUUUCUGGUCACUCGAUACUCCUUCAUCUGCAUAAAAUUUCGCUUCCGUAGCUCAUAUGUACGCAAGCUCUUUAAUAUGGACAUUUUACGACUUGCAUGAGUGAAUUGGAAUUUCAUCAAAGAAAUAUGUCGAGCGCUGUAGGCAAAUUAUGGUAAACUUGAUCAUACACAAUGAACAGUCAGUCAGUCAGUCAUUUGUUUUCAUCAUGAAAUUUGUGGCAUGCAAUAAAAGUAAAAGAAGACGAAUGACCAGUUACUCAAGUGUUUGUGGAAAAUUGCAUUGACAGAUGUGGCAUAAAGAAUUCCACAAAUAUUUUAAAGUGUACCACCAAUAUUUAAAAAAUGCUAAUGUUCACACACAUGUAUGCAUUUAUAGGUAUAUGGUAUAUAUCUAUCCUGCAGGGAAAUCUCAAACCGAUUUAGGAAAAUACAAGUUUGAAACAAAAAAUUGUUCAUUGAAAUCAAAUUAGUUAGCAAAGCAUGAAGCUAAUAAGAGUUAGUUAGGAAGUUGCUUUGGAAAGUGAACGGUGUAUCAAUAUUGUUUCAAUAAAAAUACAAAGAACCUAAACAAACAAAGAGUAAAACGGUUAAUGCAAAUAUAUGAUGAGGAGAAGAUUUUGAAAAAAAUUAGGAUUUUUACUUAAUUGCCUAUAAGGAGAUAAAAAUGCAUAUAUGAUUCGAUGUUCAUUAGAAUAUCAGUAGAAUUUGAUCUUUGUAAUAUUUGAUUGAUAAGCCAAUUCAUGCAGUUCUGUUGCCGUUUUCUUUGAUUUAUCACAUGAACACAAAGAUGUCAUGUAGCCAAAUUUUCAUGGGUAUAACAGAUACUUCGAUUAACUACACUUUGAGACCGUCCAAAAUUAUUUUGUGGAUAUUUUUCAUAUUCUCGACCAUAAUAGCACUCUCUAUACUUCACUAUGUGCUUUUUCUGGCACUAGGCAACGAUAAUACUCAUCAAGCCUCUUUUUGUAAUCAGCAAUACUUUUUUUCAACAAACAAAAUUACGAACCAAUUGCCGGACACAUGUGAAAUUUAAACGCAUGAUUUUUGAAGGUUAGGUUUAACUUCAAAAUGUGUGCAGAUGUUACUACCGAGUAUAAUAGUUUUGUUUACCUAACGGUGAAACCUAACCUAACACCUAAAACCAAUCGAGAUAGAUAUAGAGUUAUUUAUAUAAUAUAUAAUUAUUAGGAUGUCGAGUUGAAUUUCGGAUGACUGUCUGUCCGCCCUUCCGCCCAGGCAAGCAAUAUUUUGAAUAUAAAUUGAGAUAUCGUGAUGAAACUUUGUAAACGUUUUCCAUGGUACCCAAGGGGAGUUGGUAUCGCAGACGGGCAGAAUAGGAGGUUUGCCACGCCCAUAAAAUCCCGUUAAUCGCAAACUCAUAACGUAUUAUGACCAAGCCCCAAAUUAGGACAUAUUUGAUAAAGGGUGGUGAGGGCAUCUGUGAGCUGCAAAAAUUUUCAAUUUAUGUACAUGUCUCACUAACCAAACGUGUCAAGAGAUGCGAUGUCAAAAGUGGGCGUCGCACCGCCACCUUUAGUAUGAUGAGCUUUCAUACCCGACAAUAAUCCAAACCAAUGGGCACGGUUCGCGUAACACCCUGCUUUAAGAGGAGUGGCAGUGCUUAGUUACUGCCCGCUCAGCAGGUCAUUCCAAUCAGAUCAAAAGUUGGCAGUCUAGGUUUACACUUCGUAUCUAAACUUAACAUUUCUGGAUAAUGCUGAUGAGUAAACAGUUAAGCCUCCACACCAACGACAAGGUGACCACCAUCGAGGUACCCUCAUAUACCUAAUAGAAAGUUUUUCGAAUUUCCGGUUUGUAUAUGGCUACGUGUGCAUGGGUGUUGCUGCCGUUAAACUUGCUCAACCAUUACCGUUAAUAUCUUAAUAAUAAAAACUUAUUUACAAAGCCUGUUGAA